AUUUUUAGGUGUACAGUUCAGUAGCAUUAGGUACAUUCACAUUGCUGUGCGAUUAUUACCACAAUUCAUCUCUAAACCAUUUCCAUCUUGCAAAGCAGACUCCUCUGUACACCUUUAACAGUAACUCCCAUUGUCCCUUUCCCUUAGCUCCUGGCAACCAUCACUCUACCUGAUGUCUCUAUAAUCUGACUGCUCUAGGUACCUCAGAUGAAUGGAAUUAUGCAGUAUUUGUCCUUUUGUGUGUACAACUAAUUUGACAGGCAGUAUGAUAAGGAACAAUCUGUAUGACAUGUAAACAGGAGGGGGUAAAUUCCAAGCACAGCCUGAAUGAGAAGUACAACUCAUUUCCCAUAACCCAGAUGCGUUUUGAACACAUCUAUGCAGUCUCCAUGUAAAACCAGGUGCUGGUCCCAAAGGAGAAAACACUGCCCUCCAGUGGUCUUCAAUGAAGAAAUGAAAAUAGUUUCAGGUGGAAACCAGGCUUCUUGGAAGACUUCAAACUAUGCCAAAUGGUCUGAUUUCACCAUAGAGGUAGGCACUAGAGGACUAAAUUUACUUCUGUGUAAUUUUUGUUAGCUGCAUUUUACAUGCAAAUGUCUAUACAACCAUGUUAAUGAAGUUAUAGAGAAGAAAAGAAAGUUGGCAUUCCCGCUUUUGUUUUAUUCCAAAGCAACUUUUCAAUUGAGUUACUAUCAUUUUAAGCCAUUGUUAUUUAAUUAUAAGAAAACAGAAAAGUGUAACAAUGCAUUCAAAUUGGAUUGCAAGUCAAGAAAAGCAAUAUCUUACUUCUAAAUAAAAUUUAGAUUUGACACUUUUUUCUCUCAUACCUUUAUGGCAUUCACAACAU
Molecule: long non-coding RNA, 847 nt
Organism: Sapajus apella (tufted capuchin)
Lineage: Eukaryota; Metazoa; Chordata; Mammalia; Primates; Cebidae
Exons: 3
Source: RefSeq, a predicted model, not a curated record